RNAcentral lists this ribosomal RNA (438 nucleotides) under Triticum aestivum (bread wheat). Its description in RNAcentral is "partial small subunit ribosomal RNA". Lineage: Eukaryota; Viridiplantae; Streptophyta; Magnoliopsida; Poales; Poaceae. The record is from RNAcentral.
AUGACUAGGGAUAACCUUAGGAAGAGACACAUCAUCAAACCCCUUGAUUGUGUUUACUGCUUGGAACAAGAGUCUUGUUCUCACCUAUUUUUUGAAUGUAUAGUUGCUAAACAUCUCUGGGCCCACAUUGAGGAAUAUUUCUCUAGUCAGAUUGGCUCAUCCUUUGAAUCUGUCACCAGAUUCUGGAUUGCUACCAAAAAGUGCUCAGUUUUAAACAUUGUUAGCUCAGCUGUCCUUUGGUGCCUCUGGAAAUAUAGAAAUGCUAUGAUUUUCAGUAACACCUCCUGGAUUUCCAUUCCGCGGGUCUUGAGGUUGAUCAGGAACAUGGUGAGGAACUGGGCGAUUCUCUCCUCCGGAUCGGACAAGGACAAGUUGAUGAGCUUCGUGGAAACCCUAACAAGAUCCAUCCAGAAACCAUUGGCGAUCACUUGUGGCUGA